CAGAUGGCUCCGAAGUUUGCAUCCUAUUAGGUUGGUGCAAAAGUAAUUGCGGAUUUUGCCAUUAAAAGUAAUGGCAAAAACAGCAAUUAUUUUUGUACCAGCCUAGUAUCUUUUCUCCUUCUACCAAACUUUGUCCCUGAGCCAUCUCA
Molecule: microRNA precursor, 149 nt
Organism: Gorilla gorilla gorilla (western lowland gorilla)
Lineage: Eukaryota; Metazoa; Chordata; Mammalia; Primates; Hominidae
Source: Ensembl